Molecule: ribosomal RNA, 465 nt
Filed under: uncultured bacterium
Lineage: Bacteria
Description: partial 16S ribosomal RNA
Rfam family: Bacterial small subunit ribosomal RNA
Source: RNAcentral
GACGAACGCUGGCGGCGUGCUUAACACAUGCAAGUCGAACGGAAAGGCCCCUUUGGUGGUACUCGAGUGGCGGACGGGUGAGUAACACGUGAGUAACCUGCCCUUGACUUCGGUAUAACUUCAGGAAACUGGGGCGAAUACAGGAUAGGAAUCCUUGCUGCAUGGUGGGGGGUGGAAAGCUUCGGCUGUUGUGGAUGGACUCGCGGCGUAUCAGCUUGUUGGUGGGGUAGUGGCUUACCCAGGCUUUGACGGGUAGCCGGCCUGAGAGGGCGACCGGCCAAAGUGGGAAUGAGAUACGGCCCAGACUCCUACGGGAGGCAGCAGUGGGGAAUAUUGGAAAAUGGGCGGGAGCCUGAUGCAGCAACGCCGCGUGCGGGAUGAAGGCCUUCGGGUUGUAAAACGCUUUCAGCAGGGGACAAGCUUGUGGUGACGGUACCUGCAGAAGAAGCACCGGCUAACUACGUG